CGGCAACAGCUCAAAUUUGAAAUCUGGCCUCUGCGGGGUCCGAGUUGUAAUUUGGAGAGGAUGUUUCGGGCACGGUCCGGGCUUAAAUUUCUUGGAACAGAAUGUCACAGAGGGUGAGAAUCCCGUCUGGAGUCCGGACACGGCCCAUGUGAAACUCCUUCGACGAGUCGAGUUGUUUGGGAAUGCAGCUCUAAAUGGGUGGUAAAUUUCAUCUAAAGCUAAAUACUGGCCAGAGACCGAUAGCGCACAAGUAGAGUGAUCGAAAGAUGAAAAGCACUUUGAAAAGAGAGUUAAACAGUACGUGAAAUUGUUGAAAGGGAAGCGCUGUCAACCAGACUUGCGCGUCGGGGUUCCCCCUUGCUUCUGCCUGGGUUACUCCCCGGCGUUCAGGCCAACAUCGGUUUCGGGGGUUGGUUAAAGGCCCUGGGAAUGUAUCUACCCUCCGGGGUAGACUUAUAGCCCAGGGUGUCAUGCGACCUCCCGGGACCGAGGAACGCGCUUCGGCUCGGAUGUUGGCGUAAUGGUUGUCAGCGACCCGUCUUGAAACACGGACCAAGGAGUCUAACAUCUAUGCGAGUGUUAGGGUGUCAAACCCUUACGCGGAAUGAAAGUGAACGGAGGUAGGAAGCCUUAAGGCUGCACUAUCGACCGAUCCUGAUGUCUUCGGAUGGAUUUGAGUAAGAGCAUAGCUGUUGGGACCCGAAAGAUGGUGAACUAUGCCUGAAUAGGGUGAAGCCAGAGGAAACUCUGGUGGAGGCUCGCA
RNAcentral lists this ribosomal RNA (763 nucleotides) under Cyphellophora reptans. RNAcentral describes it as "eukaryotic LSU rRNA". It matches the Rfam family "Eukaryotic large subunit ribosomal RNA", at positions 99 to 879 of the family's 3401-position model. Lineage: Eukaryota; Fungi; Ascomycota; Eurotiomycetes; Chaetothyriales; Cyphellophoraceae. The record is from RNAcentral.